Molecule: long non-coding RNA, 2093 nt
Organism: Salmo salar (Atlantic salmon)
Lineage: Eukaryota; Metazoa; Chordata; Actinopteri; Salmoniformes; Salmonidae
Source: RefSeq, a predicted model, not a curated record
AGGAAGAGAGGAGUGCCACAGUGCUUAGUAGAGAGACCACAUAGGGUAACCAUGAGUGUCCACCAAAGUCUGCUAAAUAUUUAGAUACAGUUAUACUUGUACCAGUGUUGUGAUCCAGAAUGUUAUUUUGUCUUACAGACAAUUUUACACCAUUUAACUUGCUAUGGUGUCAGUCUCAAAGGACAAGAUUCUCAGGUACAGGCGUUUGGCUGAAGAUCUUGGAAGAAGACUAUUGCGCACUUUGCGUGAAAGAGUCAGCUCUUGAAAAUGGGUGCGGGAUGUGCAGAAAUGGUCUAUUCUGAAAUUGUUAAAACAAUUCGUGUCUUGGAAGCAUGCAGCGGCCUGUCUCAAACGAUGACUUCUGACUGAUGCAUAAAGUUGUGGGAGCUGCACAUAUAGGCCAACUGCACAUGAAACAAGUGAAUCCGACAAGUCAUGAAGUUAUGCAGAUAACACCACAUCUGAGAAAGAACUUGUUACCCAUCACCCCCGACUCAACCCAAUACGGCUUUGAAAAAGCACAGCCUGUGAGGCAGUUUGGGCACUUCCCUUUGGACAACAGCCUUGAGACCAAUAUAAAUCUGACAAUAACUGACGAAUUAACACAAUAGACAACAAUACAGUUUCUUCCGGAGUUUUACUGACUGAGUUUUACUGACUAAAUCCAACCAACAUCUCCUCUGCAGUAGCAUAGAGCUAGCAAGCUCCCUUCCCUUCCCAGCUAUGGCUCCCCCUAGCCGUGCUUCCAUAUUUCCUUGUUUAUGCACAGCAUAAUGGCCUGACCCUCCCUUCUUUAUAGCAUUAUACAGACACCACCUAGCACCUGAAAACCUCAAUUUUUCUGGAUAUAUUUUGAGAUUAGAGUCUCUAUAUACCUAAUAUUCAUCCAAUGGCACCCUAACCAUCGUGGAACAUAGCUUUUCUUACCUUUACAAAGUGCCUCUCUCUAUACCUCUCUCUCUCCAAAGUCCCAACCUCUAGCCUCCUUCUUCUUCCCAGAAAUCCCUGCAAAAGGGGCACUUCCAUGUAAGUUGAAUGUGUAGGGGUGCUCAUUUUGGACUCAACCAUUACUGUAAAAUACAGAAGGCCCCAGAUGCUCAGUAAGGGCCUAUUUGGGUACAUAGUCCCACAGGCGUCAACAUGUCCUUUCAAACGGUAUGCCACUGGCCCUAUAGUAAAUAACCCUCCCCUAACUCCCUCUGUCCUCCCCCCCAAUGGCUUUCACAUCAUAUGGCCCAUCCACCAGUCAUACAGCCAAUACUGAGAAGCAAUUGUCACUUGCUGCACAAAUGAGCUCUCAGAGAGUUUACACUGGGUUUUUGUGGACUCACCAAGCCUUGGGGCCUCUUAGAGUGGCCCAAAAUCAUUGCUGGGGUAUAUUUUGGACACACAGAGACCCCUUUUUAUUGAAACAAACCAUUUGAAUGCAGAGGAAAAUAUUCUGGUGUGAAUAUGAUGCAAUCAAGCAAAAAGAGAGCACUGUCUCCAAGUGUCCCUCUCCAAAAGUGCAGAGAUGUAUCCACUGGGACAAGGAGCUUUCCACUCACACAAUGAGAAGGUAAUUAAGCUCCUGAAGUUUAAAAUUUAAUUUUUAAGAAUGUUUUUCUUCAUAUAUUACUAAACAAAUCAUCAUUUUAAGGGGUGGCGGAUGACAAAUGCCAAUUUUGGGGUCCGCACUUUGAAAGCCCAACAGGUAAGCUCACUAAUUGACAGGACACAUUGCAGUGCAUAAGGUAAGGACUUCAUUCUUGUUCAAAACUAUAUGUAUAUAGUUAAAUAAAAUAUUUAUUUUAAAUAUUUUAAGAUGUCAUAUAUCAAUGGUGUAUCGUCUCAAACUGAAACGAUACAUAUUUACCAUAUAGUCUACAAUAUACACCUACCACUUUAUUAUAAUAUUUUAUUCAGCACUAGCCUAUACUAGCCUACAGUUGAGAGCAUGGUCCUGAAACAAGAUAACAUGCUAAUGUUUUUAAAAUAAGCUUAUCAGAAAACGAACAAAACAUAGCCUAGCAGUUUAAGACUUGACUGAGGGCCAAAUUUGAUAUAGCCUACCUGAAUAAGCAGCUAUAUUUCAGGAUCUGACAGUAGGCAUC